RNAcentral lists this ribosomal RNA (492 nucleotides) under uncultured bacterium. RNAcentral describes it as "bacterial SSU rRNA". It matches the Rfam family "Bacterial small subunit ribosomal RNA", at positions 9 to 490 of the family's 1533-position model. The record is from RNAcentral.
GAGUUUGAUCCUGGCUCAGAUUGAACGCUGGCGGCAGGCCUAACACAUGCAAGUCGAACGGUAACAGGAAGAAGCUUGCUUCCUUGCUGACGAGUGGCGGACGGGUGAGUAAUGUCUGGGAAACUGCCUGAUGGAGGGGGAUAACUACUGGAAACGGUAGCUAAUACCGCAUAACGUCGCAAGACCAAAGAGGGGGACCUUCGGGCCUCUUGCCAUCGGAUGUGCCCAGAUGGGAUUAGCUAGUAGGUGGGGUAACGGCUCACCUAGGCGACGAUCCCUAGCUGGUCUGAGAGGAUGACCUGCCACACUGGAACUGAGACACGGUCCAGACUCCUACGGGAGGCAGCAGUGGGGAAUAUUGCACAAUGGGCGCAAGCCUGAUGCAGCCAUGCCGCGUGUAUGAAGAAGGCCUUCGGGUUGUAAAGUACUUUCAGCGGGGAGGAAGGGAGUAAAGUUAAUACCUUUGCUCAUUGACGUUACCCGCAGAAGAAG